UCAAAAUUAUGCUUCUAGGUUUUAUCCAUGUUGCUGUAGGUAACUAUCAGUUAUUCAUUUUUAACCACCAUGUAGUAGUAUUUCCUUAUAUGAGUGUACCGCAGUUGAAUCAUCAAUUUCCUUCUGUUGGGAAAAAUAAGGAAUGAUGCUCUCUGUUUGAGUAAUCUGUAAGUGUUUCUUUAGAGUUCAUACACAGGACCAGAAUUUCACGGUAUGCAAUUUGACUUUACCAGUUAUUGCCUGCCCGAUUGUUUUCUAAAAUGGUUAUAAAUUUACAAUCCCAUCAGAAAUGUGGAAAAUUUCCAAUUUCUUUGAGUCUCAACCAACCUUUGAUAUUGUUACAUUUAUAAAUUUUUUUCUACCCAAUUGGGGUGAAAUGACAUCUAUAUUAGCCAGAACUCAGAAAACCAGACACCACACAAGGUAUUUCAAAGAGAAUGAAUUUAAUACAGGAAAUUGGCUACACAGAUGUUGGAGAGCUGAUAGGGCAAAAAGGGAACACAGGGGUAACUCAGAGAUAAUAACUGCAGGAAGCAGGUACCAACCCUAGGGCUACAGGAACAAAAGAAGUUUGGGAAUCAGGACCUAGGAACUCAGAGUAUGGGUUCUGCAGUCCUGCAGAACUGGUGCUGAGACCAGGGAAUGGUAUGUGGCUGCUAUUGGUAUAUGGAAGGAUUGCGGUGAGGCUGGGUUUGGGAGUACGGAAAGAAAGUAGGGGCUGGAGCCAACUGCUGCUGCUGGAGUGAUGCUGGCAGGAAAGGAAGAAACAGGAACCAAGUCCCUUCUCUCCUCAUCUUGCCUUCCAAUCUUCCUCGAGUGCCUUUCAUUGCGGGAACCUAACAGGAAGCCAGGUGGUUCUGGAGUCUGGGAAGCGUUGGGUUUGGAGUCCUGGCCUCAGCAAGAGCAGAAUACAAAAGGGUAGAUGUGAGCUGAGAGACACUGGGUAAAUAAUCUGCAUAGAAUCGCACUGUGUGUAUAUUACAUCUCGGUUCUUUCCAUUUUUAUAUGUAGCUAUUUUAAAUGGUGCUUCACAAACAUCCUUGCACAUACGUUUUCCUUAGAACUUGUUUCCGAAAGUAGAAUUACAGAGUCAAAGAAAAUGCAUAUUUUUAAGGCUUUUGGUCCAGGCUGACAAAAUCACCAGAGAGUAGGGUUUGGAGGAAAGGGAGUCCCCCCACCACCCCACACAGUGUAUUCCUGGAAACCGCAUCACAGAGCAGAUGGUAGUGGAGGAGAUCAUCUUUCUAUGCUGGGGCGCUCUUACCUGAGGAUUGCUUCCUGCCCAGGGAAUGAGUACCAGGAGACUGCAGUUCUAACAACGCUAUCUCAGAAAACGAGAGCUACAGCCUGAAACUUCUGCAUCAUUUAUACUAGUUAUAUUAGUCUCUGAAUUUUAUAUCUAUUACCCAUUGACCACAGUGAAUUAUAAAGUGUACCCACACAACUGAAGCACACAAAGAUGUAAUUCUACAGUAUCACUCACGCAAUCUACCACCAGUGAUGUAUCCUUCUGCUGAGUGCUCAGUAUUAAAUUAACUGUGGAUUUGUUGGCUUAAUUGGGCUUACAGGGGCCAGGAGUGUGUGUAUGUGUGCAGUGAGUCUGGGCAGCUGGAAGGCAGAGGCUAGAGGGAGUGUAGAGAGGAGAUAAAAGUCUGAGUUCAGGAGGGUGAAGAAAGUUGGGGUCAGUUGGCACAGUGUGAGCCCCAGAGGCAUUUAGGGGAACAGAAAGUGCAGUGGAAAGAGGGAUGCAUGGGUGUGAAGGCCUGGGAAUCCAUGGGGCAGUGCCGAAGAAACACCUCACCUGUAUCACCAGACAGCUAAGAACUACUCCGCCUGGCCCAGAUUCUUUGGCCUGUGUCUCUACUCAGCUCUGAUGAGUGCAUGAAUCCCUAAUCAGAUGACUGCAAUCACAAGACUCCCCUCCAGCAGGUAAUCAAGAAGCCAGAGCCCCUGAACACUGGGCCAGGUAUCCAUCUCCAAGGGAGCUGCCCCUCCCACGGUCAUCUUGGAGCAAAGCCCUGCAAAGGGACAUUGGCCUUGGCUGGAUAUUGUGGGAAAUGCAGAGUUGAAGUCUGGGCCUUGAAGAAAUCUUCUCAUAAUUUUUCUAGCUCUUAACACUUUCUGAAAUGUGUCUGGGGCAGUUGGGAGAAGGCUCCUAAGCCGUAUCCAGCCCUAACUAUUCUCUGAAUUGUCUCCUGGAUGUCUCUUGGCAUCUUCCUCUCACCAAGGCAGAACUCCCAUCGGGACAAGAACUAUGUCUGUUUGGCACACCAUAAUAUACCCAGAGCCCCAUGCAGUGCUUAGCACAGAUACUCAAGACAUACUGAUUGGAUGAAGGAAUGGGGUUCUAAUACAAAAAUGUUAACUUUCCACCUGCAGACAGUUCCAUCUCUGGGCUGCCUUGUCUGUCACUGAUGUUGCCAUAGUCAUUUCAAAUUGAUUCUCCCUCUUCCUCCUUCUCUCAUCCAAUUGGUCAUGUUCAUUCUAUCACCACUCCAGUGCCCUAGUGUCAUCCUCUUUCUGUGCUUUAUGCCGUCCUUUGACUUCACAUCCAAAACGCCCAUCGGGGUUCCCUUUCACUUUCAGGAUAAAAUCUAAACUUCUUAGUUCGGCCUUCAAGGCCCACCAUUGGCCUCCAGCAUCCUUCUGUCUGCCUCAUCCAUUUCUCUCCUGCGUGUCUCCUGAUGCUGCCAACCUGGUCUCCUCCUAACUGCUCACAUAUAUUCUGGAUUUACUUGUCCUUAGAUCUGGGCUCAUCUCCCUGCCUGUAAUCUCCUCUUUUUACUGGCCAAUCCUGUUUGAUGAUUUCUCCUUCCACUGAACUGAGAAUCAGAUUGAAGUCACAAUAUGAGACCAGCUCUGUGUCAUAGUAGGUGUUGGGAGCUGGUGAUGAAGCUGAGGCUCUGCUAUGUGUAGUGAUGGCCGAGGUCACACAGCUGGUAAUAACAGCUGCCACUUAUUGGCUGUCUUCUAUGUUUUAGGUCCUCUUCUAGGUGUUUUACACACUUUCUUUCCAAUAUGCUCAGUACACUUGCACCAUAUCACUCAAGUAAGGAUAUAGCAUUAAAAGAUUCCACAACUGUGCCUAUUGCCAGGCAGGACCAUUGCGGGAAACUGGCUUAGUGAUGGAGUAAGUCAUGGCUGGAGUAAGGAGAGGAUAGGAUCUUGGAGUGCUGCUGAGGACACCAGGGGUCACCUUGUAUAAUAAAUGCUCAGUUCCUGGGGAAGGCAAGAGAAAGGAAAGGAAAGAUGCCAGGAAAAAAAAUCCUCCAUUUGUAUCAAUGUCUCAGGUGGGGCCUGGGAUUCUGUAUGUCUAACAAGCUUCCAGGUGAUUCAGACGCUGCUGGGCCCUGCACUUUGGGUAGCAAAGCUGUAGGAAGGUUCCAUCUUCCUGUGACUGGGGUGUCUGGAUUGAUGUGUGACCAGGGCCUAGGGUCAGUCUAUGACUGGGGAAUUGGGUCAGUUCAAAACUGAAGAAUUGUACAAUUGACUGCACUUUUGAUUUUGACCAACACUGCAUCUGUCCUCCAACCUAUAGCUACAAGUCAUAAUAAAAAAACCACACAAGAGUGAGGGAGGAAAAAAGAGAUUUCCCCUGAAAGGGGAGGUGCAGAGCACGUCGGGGAAAGAUUCCCGUACUGUCCGGGUUGGUUAGCUCCUUUUUCGUAAAGGUAAUUUCUCCCUCUUCUUCUCUCACUCUCCCACCCUGCAUUUUACAUAUGUCCUUAACAAAGAAAUAUAUGGUUAGUGCCACAUCUGGGAGCCUUGUCUGCGAGGCCUGAUGGCAAUAUAUAAUCAGUUUGGGAGAGGGGGCAGCACAGCAUAGAGAAAGGAAAUGGUUUCUCUAGACUAGGAAAGAAAAAAGGAAGAGAAGGAAACCAACAUGCAUUGAGCUCCUACUAUACACAAGGCACUCUACUAGAUGUUUAUAUGUAAGCCAAUCAUUCAUCUUCCCAAGAAUAAAAUACAUUUCUUAUCUUAUUUCACAGAUAAGGAAACUGAAGUUCAUCAAGGCAUCAAGUACCCAUGGUUGCUUGAGUGUUAAAGCCAGGACUAGAUCUGUAAUCUCAAAAUCCUUGCUGCCUCAUGGGACCUGGUCAGAUGGGUGCAGUUUGGGACACAAUGCAUUUAAGAAGCCUGUGGAGUGGGUGGGGGGAGCAAUACUCAGGUGGAGUGAUUGAGGUCCUAGAAUUCCCACAUGGCAGAAACUGCUCUCUUCUUCUUCCUCAGUGUUCAGAAUACCUGCGUUUUAGCUAGACACAGCCAUUUGGAAUGAAGAUUCUGCUUCUCAACCACCCACAGAGCUGGGUGUGGGUAUGUGUUAAGUUGUGAGUAGUGGGAAGUGUGGGAGGGUGGUUCUUACCUACCUUUGCCCCUCUGUGCUCCCUUUUCCUUCCUGCAGCCUGGAAUGAGGCUGUGAGGCUCCAGCAGUCGUUUUGUGCCAUGAGGCAGUAGAAACCUGGGUUCCUGAUGACUGUGGAGAUGCCAAACUAAUCUGGACCUUCAGAUUCCAUACCUGCAAGACACAUGAACAUCUGUCUUAUCCAUCCCUGGAGAGGAGCCCUGAGGGAGAGCAUCCAGGCCAUCCGGAUUUUCUGCAUGGAAGACCUGGCUGACCGCUGCCUGGGCUGCCUUUCAAGUCUCACCGAAUUAUGAAGUCAACUACUGGGUGUUUAGAAUGUCUCAAGUUCAAAGACUAGCAGGCUGGAAGCAGACAUCCGAGGGACCUUCAGGCACCUUAGCAGGAGGAAUAUUAAGAUGUGGCACGCUGGGCUUAUCAGGAGACUGGAUAGGGAAUCAGAAGGAAUACAUUUUUAUUCUGCGAGCUGCAAAGUUCAGGAGUCGUUCUUCUGAUAUCAGGCCCAUUGCUGACUGUGCUAGGAAAUGUGGAAAGCUGCAGCUGCAGAGAGCUGGCUGUGCCUGCUCCACUGCAGUUCUCAGUUCUCUCACACCUGUCUGUUUAGAAAGGAGCAGGUGGGCUGUGAAGCUCUGCAGGAUUCUUCUCAGUGCUGGGGCAUUAGGAGAAAUGGUGGUGACAGCCACUCUGGGCAUCAGAACUGAAUACCUGCUCCCCACUCCUGUCAGUUGCACAGCCCAGCUCCCGGCUUCGCUGCAGUGGGAGGGGAGAUGAGGGACUCUUAAACUCAGAACAUGACUGACCAAGACCCUUACAGCUGGGGUGGAGGUAGGGGCCCGAAGGCAGGUUCUGGAGGUGGGGAGCAAGUCUUCUGGUUGUUUUCCUGGCAACAGCAGGAAUAAUAGAGUCUAGGUUCUGCCUGGCUCAGGAGCUGGGGUGUUUGGCCUGUCUUUCCUCAGUCCCUUCUGCUAUAGAUACUGAUAGUCCUCUGCCACUAGGCUCUGCUACCGAGUCCCUGAGCUCUUCCUGACCUAGCCUGGCUCUGAGUGGGGAGCCAGCAUGGCAGAGGGUGGGCCUGGUACUAGUUGUGUCUCCCUGAAUACAGGAUCUGAGAGCUGGGGGUCUUUGGACACCCAGAGCCCAUAAGCCUGUUCUCUUCCCUCACUGUAGGUUCCCAAGCCAAUGGCUGGUUCCUGAUUUUACCUAGUCUUCUGCACUGGGAUAAGAACCUGACAUCCAGCUUCCCCUUUGGGAGCAAGGCCUCUUCCAGGGGCUGCUCCUGGUCUGUGUUUUCCUCUGCAGUUUGGGAGCCUAUUUCCCCCAUGAGGGCCCUAACCCUACCCACGAAGACACUACACACCCUGCUUUGAAUUAAUGUCCAGACUGGACUCCAGAUGCAGCCUCGGAUUAGACCCAAUUUGGCCACGUCUUCCUGGAGCUGUCUAGUAAUUUGGAAUCCACCCUGCUCCCUACUUAGCCACAUGCAAAGCAGGGUCCAUCUCCCAGCCUGGUUCUGCCUUUUCGUCAGUCUUACAUGUGUGUGUCUGAGUACAUGUGUCAGUCAGUGAUCAUGCCAGGAUGGCCAGUUGGACUUGUGUCAGCAUGUAUAUGUGUUCCUUGAGGCUGUCCCGUGCAGGUGUGCACCAAGUUCUCAGCCCAGUUCUGAUGUCUGUGUGUGAAUAUGCCCAGAUACAUCAUGAACAUGGCUGGGAUGCUAGGAGGGGGAUCAGUAUGCAUGACAUUGCAUGUCUUCAAGUACACAGGUAUGUGUCUAUGCACACGCACAAACCUCUCUAAUAUGUAUGUAUGCAUGUGUACAUGUGUAUAUAUGGCUAAGUGUGUGUCUGGGAGUGUUUGACCAUGUCUGAGAUGAGUCUUCUGCCCAUUCUGAAAGGAAAGGGGACAGGGGUCCACUCUCCCUUUUUGUAGUCACACUGUGGUUGGGGCUGGCUUGUGACAGAGGGAGUGAAGGUAAGUGCCCCUCAGAACCUUCUGGGAUCUUUCUGCCUAACAUUCUGAGACUUCCCCAGCUUUUUCCUAGCCUUGCAGCCUUGGCUUUUAGUACUUCAAGAUUAUUUGGCCAGGUGCGGUGGCUCAUGCCUAUAAUCCCUGCACUUUGGGAGGCCAAGGCGGGCAGAUCAUUUGAGGUCAGGAGUUUGAGACCCAGCCAACAUGGUCAGACUUCGUCUCUACUAAAAAUACAAAAAUAAGCCAGGUGUACUGGCAUGUGCCUGUAAUCCCAGCUACUUGGGAGGCUGAGGCAGGAGAAUCACUUGAAUCCAGGAGACAGAGGCUGCAGUGAGUUGAGAUUGCACCACUGCACUCCAACCUGGGUGACAGAGUGACACUUGGUCUCAAAAACAAACAAACAACAACAACAACAAAAACAACAAAACAAGAAAAGAAGAUUAUCUGGUGCCUUGGCCCAGUCCCCACCCUUCACUUUGGAAAGGGUGUACCUGUAAAAGGUACCAGAGGAAGCCCAUACCCCCAUAUUUAGUCUGGCAAUGAAGUCAACCAUUCAGGACUUGCCUACUGUGGUCUGUGUAGGUCCUCCUCCUCCCCUGCUCAGGUCCAGGCCAUUGUCCUCAGUGGGACAGGGAGGCCCAGGGAGGGACUCCUGGCCUGGCUGUUCUGGAGGCCUGGGCUUGCCAGAGGCCUUCAGCUUUGACAGAGGACUCCGGGCUGUUUGGAGGCACUUCCAAGGCCCCUGUGCUGUGUCAGGGGCAGGAGGUGAUGGCGGGGGGUGGGUAACAUGUCCAGAGCUUCCCCUUCCCAACAAGUCUGUGGAUGGGCAGGGAGAACACUCGUGGGGAAACUACCAAUUUAAAUCGGAAACGCAAGCAAUUUGGAUAGAACCCCAGGACUGCAGUUUGAGAGCUCGUUCUCUGCCCCGUGGGGGUUUGAUUACAACCAACUUGGCUGAUCACGUGCAGAGAGGGCCAGAGAAAUGGUUUCCAAGGAAACUCAGAUCUUUCUAAGCCCCUUCUGGCUCAGGUGGGAGCCAGGGCUGGCCGGGAAAGCAGAGGCUGUGCUGAGUACCAUGGGGCUCAAUUCCCGGUGAGCCCUCUGCCCACUCUCUGCCUGCUUCUGUGCUUAUCCUUGCUUCCCCAAACCCGGCCUGCACUUUCAUUCCUGUUUACAAUAGUUGUUUCUCUCUUUGUCUCUGCUCCCUUAGUCUUCUUAUUUAUCUCGGUUGAUGUCUGCACUUGGGAAAGUUGGCAAAAAGUUAAAAAAAAUUCUUAUUUUUUCUUAUUAAUGGUGAUUAAAAAUAUCACGAACAAUCUUCUACAUACACUCAUUUACUCUUUUUCUUUGUAGGCCGUGGAAACAGAAAUCUAGUGGAGGACUCUGAUCCCUAGGGGAUGUAGGGUCACUGGACCCAAUUCCUGUAUAAUCUUGUGUGGUAUUUCCCUGCUUCUGCUCACCUUCAUUGGAUGGUAAUGUUACGUUUGUUAACCCACUAAGGUUUUGGGGGUUGUUUAUCAGGCAGUUGUCUAGCCUGAUAACACAAACCUGAAAGAAGGGCAUUCAGCACCUACUCUGUUCCAGAAAUGCCACAGGAUUUAGUUCUAUUAUUUCCAUUUUCACAGCAACCAUAUGGCAGACAGGAUACUAUGAGUUCAUCAAACCUUUUUUCUUCUGAAACUACAUUUCCCAGCAUGCCUUGCUAUAAGGUUGCAUCAUGUGACUGAGUGCUGGCCAAUGGAAUGUGGGUAGGAGUAAGAGAUGGCACUUUUGUGGCUGCUCUCCCCCAAAAUAUCAUGAACAAUCUUCUACACAUACUCAUUUCCUCUUUUCCUUUGUAGGCUGUGGAAACAGAAAUCUAGUGGAGGACUCUGAUCCCUAGGGGAAGUAGGGCCACUGGACCCAAUUCUUGCAUAAUCCUGUGUGGUAUUUCCCUGCCUCUGCUGACCUUCAUUAGAUGGUAAUGUUACAUUUGUUAAGCCACUAAGGUUUUGGGGGUUGUUUAUUAGGCGGUUGUCUAGCCUGAUAACACAAACCUGAAAGAAUAGCAUUCUUAUCCCUAUUUUUCCAUGGGGGAAAUGGGCUCAGAGAUACUAAGUAACUUGCUAAAGUCACACAGCAAUUAAGUGGCAAAUCCAGAUUUGAGCUCAGGUUAUGUCUUUUCCACUAUCCCAGGCUAACAGGAUGAUUGUUCCUGUGUAGAUGUUGCCUUGGUCUUUGUCUCCUGAGGAGUCACAGAAAGAAAGACACAGACAAGGACUGGGAGGUAGGGAAGGAGGGAGCAGCUGGGGGGCAGGUGUGUAGUGGUGCAUCAUAGCAGCAAAGGGAGGUAAAGGUUCUAGGAAGGGGUGGUCAAUUGUGUCUAAUGAGACCCAGCCAGGUGGAGGAGGAAGAGGGCUGGGAAGAGCCCAUUAAAUUUAAUGACCUCAGUGACAGUUUUAUCUGAGUGAUGGGGCAGAUGCCAGCUUGCAGGGGGUUUGGGAACAAGUCAGUGAUUAUGACGGUUAAGGGAAGGAGAGAGGAAAAAAAAGAGAGAUAGCUUUAAGUGGAAGCCAGGCCAAAGGAAAACAUUUUGAGAAGGAAAUCAGUAGUUAGGGAGAGAUUAAAAAUAAGAAAGGGAAUCAUGACCUACAUAACGCAAAACAUCUGAAUGUGAUGAUUUCCUCCUUUAGGCUUGGUUCUGCUGUGCAUUUCCAGGGCUAAGCAGACUGGCCAGGAAGCAGGGAGCAGGGAGGUUGGACACAGCCAGCAAGUCAUGCAGCAUUAGCUGGCCUGAGUGGGCAAGCAGGUGGCAGCUGAAGUAUUGUGAAUUGAAAGCCUGAAAUUCUUCAGGAUCUUCUAAGAUUAUAUAUUUGAUUGGGUCACAGAUUUAAUGCGGAUAAGCCUAGUUGAUCAACCUCAGGAGUAGAGGGUGCUGUCACCUGCACAACACCUACCACAACUUCCUAGAACCUAGUGGCCGAGCUUGUUAAGUGUCCCAAAAUGCCCAUUCUCUCCUUCCUUUUAGUCAAGGAGCCCUGAAUUUUAGGGAAGAACAUGAUCAUUUAGCUCAGGACCACAGUUCCCAGACUCCCUGCAACUGGAUGUGGAUGUCUACUCAGUUCUUGCUAAAAGGAUGUGGGCAAUUUCCAGAGCACAUCCUUACAUGGAAGCUAUUUGCAGUGAACAUUGUCUAUUUCCUCCUUUCAAUGAGGUGGAACUUGAAAGUGCUGGAGAUGAGCUAGCUGUGGCUGUAUGGACAAAGGCAAGACCCUAUGGGAUGGCCGAGCAACCAGACAGAAGAACUCUUGAGACCUCAAGGAAAAGAACUGCCCGCAACUGCUCUUGACACUCUCUCCCUCUGGCCUGUUGUGUGGGAGAGAAAUAAACUUCUACGUUAUUCAAA
This is a non-coding RNA of Chlorocebus sabaeus (green monkey), 9710 nucleotides long. Lineage: Eukaryota; Metazoa; Chordata; Mammalia; Primates; Cercopithecidae. The record is from RefSeq and is a predicted model, not a curated record.